Molecule: long non-coding RNA, 248 nt
Filed under: Chinchilla lanigera (long-tailed chinchilla)
Lineage: Eukaryota; Metazoa; Chordata; Mammalia; Rodentia; Chinchillidae
Description: lncRNA (ENSCLAG00000027073.1)
Source: RNAcentral
CUGGGCCCGAGUUCUGCAGGCCUGCGUGUGCCAAAAGGAAGCGACUUCCACACUGGCUCAGGAAGAGGACUGGACCCCGCAAGAACAGCUGGAACGCUCAGAGCACCAGUAACCAGUGGCGAGUGAAGGUCGGGGAAUCAGCUCCACCACACACAGCGCAGCUGACAGCAUGGGGCAAGUGUGCCAGACCCUCCCCAUUUCCGACCUAAGAGGAAUGAGAACGGGGAGGUCUUCCAAUUGGCUACAGG